This 226-nucleotide signal recognition particle RNA is filed under the name human gut metagenome. RNAcentral describes it as "Bacterial large signal recognition particle RNA". It matches the Rfam family "Bacterial large signal recognition particle RNA", at positions 4 to 224 of the family's 256-position model. From Rfam's summary of the family: The signal recognition particle (SRP) is a universally conserved ribonucleoprotein involved in the co-translational targeting of proteins to membranes. Archaeal SRP consists of a 7S RNA and homologues of the eukaryotic SRP19 and SRP54 proteins. The record is from RNAcentral.
UACUAACCGGGGAGUCAGCGGUGCCUUGUAGCCUGCAAUCCGCUAUAGCAGGGGUUAUAUGCCAUUUGAGGGCAGCGGCCGUGCGGCCGCGUCAACAACGAGUCCGCUGAAGGACGGGUCCCGCGCAAUCGGCAGCCGUGAACCAUGUCAGGUGGGGAACCAAGCAGCAUUAAGCGGUAGCGCCGGUGUGCCGCGGGGGCGCCUGUCCGGAGGACAGAUUUUGACU